AAGUUUGAUGGCGACCGGCGCACGGGUGAGUAACACGUAUCCAACCUGCCGAUGGCUCGGGGAUAGCCUUUCGAAAGAAAGAUUAAUACCCGAUGGCAUAGUUCUUCCGCAUGGUAGAACUAUUAAAGGAUUUCGGUCAUCGAUGGGGAUGCGUUCCAUUAGGUUGUUGGCGGGGUAACGGCCCACCAAGCCUUCGAUGGAUAGGGGUUCUGAGAGGAAGGUCCCCCACAUUGGGACUGAGACACGGUCCAAACUCCUACGGGAGGCAGCAUG
This 273-nucleotide ribosomal RNA is filed under the name uncultured bacterium. RNAcentral describes it as "partial 16S ribosomal RNA". It matches the Rfam family "Bacterial small subunit ribosomal RNA", at positions 81 to 353 of the family's 1533-position model. The record is from RNAcentral.